GUGAAUUUUAUUGUAUGUGAAUUAUUGCCCCCCUCUCUAAAAAAAAAAAAAAAUCUGUUCCACAUUUACUUGCUUUCUUACCUUCAGAAAUAAGAGAGGCUGGCAUAAUUUUUUCCCUCCAUAUGAAGUAAUCCUCUAGCCUAUAUAUUACAUUUUAUUUGCUUUUUUCUGAAAACAGGAAAUUGGACAUUGCUGAAGAUUGUAAGAAACACACUAACAAGAUCACCUGGACCAGGGCUCCUAGUUCAGUCUGUCCCUGCAGGGACAACAAAUAGGCUUCCUUGGGCUGUGGUGUGGAGAGACCUUGGAGCAAAGUGUGGACACUGGGUUUACCUAGUGUCUAAGCGAUACAAAUAUUACCACCUGCAGAGGAAGGGCCCAGGCAGAGUGCAAGAGUCCCCAUAGCAACAAGGCUAUCCCGGCAGUAAAUCCUCUGUAGGGCAAGGCUGUAACCAAGUGAAGCAGGAGAAGGUAUAGUUGACUUCACAGCUGGACUAGCAUAUGCUUCACCAACUCCUGUGCCACUGGGGUACGUCAGAGCUCGCCCAGAGAGCAGGGAGCCCUCCGUGGCACCAGAUCAAGUCCUCCACUAGCAAUCUAAUUCUGUCAGUAGGACAGCGGUCCUCAGACUUCAGCCGUGCAUCAGAAUCUCCCGGAAGGCACAUUGAAAUGUGGAUUGCUGGGCCCCAAACCCAAAAUUUCUGCUUUGGUGUGCCUGGGGUGGGAGCCAAGGAUCUGGGUUUCUAACAAGUUCCCAGGUAAGACUGAUGCUGCUGGUUGGGGGACCACACUUUGGGCACGGUGCUGAAGCUCUUUGCCCCUUACAACAUUUGGUAAUUAGUGGGGAAUUCUGCCCACUCAGUAACAUCUUAGUCCAGUCCCUAGCCACCAGUUGAACUCUCGCUGUGAGGAGAGCAGGGUCAGGCCAGGCAUGGAAGAUUCAAGGGCGGGAACGCCUCUCCCAGGCAGGCUGCCCUGAUUGCCUGCUUAGUCACUCUGGUCGGGUGACUUACCCUGAGGAGUGGUGGAUUUAUCGGGCAUGUGCGUAAAUGCAUCUGCAUUUGUGAACAUCAUUUCUCUGCAGAGAUGACACUGCUGACCACCCGUAUCAGGACCGAUGACAGUGGUUCUGCCAUUGUGACAAUCAAAUCAAACAUUAAUCCAGCUUCACAGCUGACAUGGCGGGCCAGGAGCAAGCAGACAGGCCAGCACCUGACUCCAGGAUCUGUCAGUUAGGAGCUGGGUGCCCUGGGCAAGUUUCCUAACUUCUCAGAACCUUGCUUUGCAAAGGGGGAUUCAUCUCAGGGGUAGGCCUGUGGGCUGGGUUAAUACUUACAAAUGUUUUCACUGAGAUAUUACAUUCCUGCUUCACUUCCUCACUGAUCUUCCUUCCGGUUUUAAGGCAGGAGCAUCCCUUGCCUCAGGGUGAGGGAUCAGGUGUGAGCCCUGUCCCACUCCUAGGGCAGUUGGGUUAGAUGGGCAGCGUGGGCAGCAUCUGGGGGGGGGCGCCCCAGGCCGACCGACUCUGAAUCUCAGGAUUCUGUGUUUUAACACAUAAACUCUUCAGGUUAUUAUAUGUGGCUAAAGUUUGAAACGCUCUGGUCUAGAACAAGGAAGUUUCAGCAUAGAAGCUUCAAAAUCCACAGCUGAGACCAUAGCCCGAAAGCCAGGGUGUGUAUGUAUGCAGCAUAAGGUAAGAGAGAAAGAGUGUUCCUUGGGAGGGACAAAGCUCAGGCUGCAGGAGAGCUCAUGUUCUAAGCCAUGGAGUCGGGAAGAACAGUAGCCAUCUGUACAUCCAAAGGGAGAAGCAAUUUGAUGAGCAGGAAAGAGAGAGAAUGAGAGGGGGUGAGCUUAGAUCUUAGGGGGCCUGUUGUGUUUUCAGUCCCCUUCUCAAAGACCCCAGGAGGCCUGGCUUGCAAAGGCUUACUAGACCACUCAGACCCUCUCUGGAGCUUAAAGGAAGAGAUAGACAGGAGUUACAGUUAGAGGCACACAACCUGGGGAGAAGGGUCAGGGCUGAGAAACUGUAAUAGGGCCACUUGCACCCCAAGUUACUGAGGGAGUAGAGAUGGAGGAAAGCCAGUCGAGAGAGAGAGAGAGAGAGAGAGAGAGAGAGAGAGAGCUGAGGAGAAAGACAGAAGCCUAGUGGACAGAGCACCUGUCCAGGGCAAGUAGGAUUAUUAGCAUGAGCUACGAGCCCUGAAAAGGCAUGAGGGCAGUUCAGGGGCAAAGCAUCAGAGGGAACAGAGUCCUCAUCCAUCUCCUGGUUGUUGACACACUAUUUGGUUUCUGAGUCUCAUCUGGCUGGUCCGAGGGUCACUCCUCCAGGCCUGCCCUUAAUCUCACCCUGUGCUGACCCUGGAGAAGGUUCUGUCUGGGGUCAUCCCCUGUGGACCUUUGGCUCUAGAGGAGCUGGCACUAAGGAGGAUGUCCCCCCAGGGUCCUGUGGCUGGGGAAGGGGCCUGGGAGGUGUCUGACCUGUGCUGCCCUGCACUGUUGGGCAAUCCGGGUGUGGCCUCAAGGUUCCUGGAAAGUUGGCUCACUUCCUUCUUUGCUGACCGAAAAAAACCUCAGACGCCCAUGGUGAGAUCAGUUUCAGUUUAAUCUGCUUUGCAUAAAAAAACAAAAGUCCUCUUUCCUCUUGACCAGAAAACUUAGCCCCAGAAGCUUGAGGUGGCAUGAGGAAGGACGGGGCAGUCAGAAGCCUCGGGUUUUCCUCUUGUCCUUCAGGGUCCUGGGGGGCGGAAAUCACCCAAGCAGCCAACGUGUGCCCGGCAUCUUGCUAAGCAAACUCUGGAGCACAGUCCAUAAUGGUGGUUUGGUGGGUCGAUGUGCAGACCUCUUCCUCAAAGAAGCCUUCUCUGACCCCCACACAGACCCUCUCCCCUGGACUCCCGCUGUCCUGGGGCUCUUGCCUUAGAAACAUUAUGUAGUGUCAUUUGAUGUGCCUUGGUGAAAGUAAUUCAUUUCUUCCCCCACAAAAGUGGAGCUCCACGAGGAGCUAUUUUUUUUUUUUUUUUUUUUUUGCAUCACUAGCCGCUGGAUCACUAGCCGCUGGCAUGUGCCUGGCACAUAGAAGGCACUCAUCUAUGUGUUGAAUAAAUGCAUACCUCAAACACCGAAGAUUCCGUAUGCCAGGGAUCCGUCAUGGCAUGAGUCUUUGCAAAAUGAUUCGUCACUGGGCUUCAUCAUCCAGAAAACUUUUAAGGACCGUGUGUCACAUGCCAGAUCUUGGCUCCUUCACACGGAAAGCUGGGCGGCGCCCCGGAGAGCCCACGCCCCCUUGCAUGGAAACCAUGGAAUUUCCCCAGCACGUUGUCUUUGGCAACUCCAAUGCCACAGGAAGGUCAGGACUGGUGAGACACGGAGAGAAUGUAAGGGAGGAAGUGCCGGUCCUGCCUACGCUGCCGGGGGCCCCUCCCAGGAGGACAGGACAGCUCGUGUCUCCACAAACAGGACCCUGACACGAGCGGGAGUGUCUCGGCGGCAGGUGGGUCUCCCCUUACACAUUUGACACUGGCCUCCCUCAUUUCAGCAGAGGUGGGGGGACUCAGCCCUGACUGCACAUUAGAACCCCCAUGCCCAGGCUGCACCCCACCUCAGUUACAUCAGCAUCUCUGGGUUGGACCAGGGUGGGCACCAGUCUUUUUAAAGCCCCUUCCCCCCCCCCCCCCAACCGGUGUUUGCAGAAUGCAGACAAUGCUGAGGGCCACGACUGAGAAAAUAAAACACUUGUAACAGACCUUUCUGUUUGAGCAUGUGAUGUCUGGGGGAACCACAGCCUGGGUUCAAAUCCUGCCCUCAUGACUUACAAGCAAGUCUCUCCACUUGUGAAAGCCUCAGUCUCCUCGUCUGUGAAGUGAGACUAAUAACAAAAGUGCCUACAUCCCAGGGCUGACGUCGGAUUACAUGCAAUAAACUGCUUACACCCGCACUGGUCUGUCAGUCCAGACAUUUCCCUACAGCUAGUACUCUUCUCUCCCCGUCUGUACCUCCAAAUUGUCCAUUCCUGUGUCUACUCCAGCUUCUGAGUUUCUAGUACUUUGUAUAGUGCUUUGCACAUAACCGUCCCUAAUAAAUAAAUUGGAAGGGGA
Molecule: long non-coding RNA, 4094 nt
Organism: Lynx canadensis (Canada lynx)
Lineage: Eukaryota; Metazoa; Chordata; Mammalia; Carnivora; Felidae
Exons: 2
Source: RefSeq, a predicted model, not a curated record